CCUACGGGUGGCAGCAGUGGGGAAUAUUGGGCAAUGGGCGCAAGCCUGACCCAGCAACGCCGCGUGAAGGAAGAAGGCUUUCGGGUUGUAAACUUCUUUUAAUAGGGAAGAGCAGGAUACGGUACCUCUUGAAUAGGCCACGGCUAACUACGUUCCAGCAGCCGCGGUAAUACGUAGGUGGCAAGCGUUGUCCGGAUUUACUGGGUGUAAAGGGAGUGCAGGCGGGAAGACAAGUCAGAGGUGAAAUCCCGCGGCUCAACCGCGGAACUGCAUUUGAAACUGUUUUUCUUGAGUACAGGAGAGGUAAUCGGAAUUCCUGGUGUAGCGGUGAAAUGCGUAGAUAUAAGGAAGAACACCAGGGGCGAAGGCGGAUGACUGGACGGCAACUGACGGUGAGGCGCGAAAGCGUGGGGAGCAAACAGGAUUAGAUACCCCUGUAGUC
RNAcentral lists this ribosomal RNA (442 nucleotides) under uncultured bacterium. RNAcentral's name for it is "partial 16S ribosomal RNA". It matches the Rfam family "Bacterial small subunit ribosomal RNA", at positions 338 to 795 of the family's 1533-position model. The record is from RNAcentral.